UAAUUUUGUUAAAUGAAGUAUGAUUAAUUGAAUUUUAAGUAUGCUAGUAUAUAUGUGUUUAUCAUGAAAUGAUAUGAUAUUAUAUAUUGUGGGAUAGAUUUAAUCAAUUUCUUAAGGAUCUUCUCCCUUUGGGAUAGAAAUUGAUUAUUUCUUAAGGAUCUUCUCCCAACAAAUGAUUGUUUUAAAUUUCAAACUUUAUUUUUUAUUGCUUUAUAUGUAUUGUAUUAUUGCUUCGAGAUUGGGGGGCCGGGUAGACCUAGUAUAGGCUUAGUAAAUUAGGACCACUAUGGUCACUAUAGCUGCUGGUAGAGUCGAGCACUUGGUAGUUAGGAUAGUGGGGUUAUGCUGUCGAAAUUUCGUUUGAUUCAAGUAAUUUAUGAUAUUUUAUUUAUUUUUUUCAAUUAGAAUUUUCAAGAAUGAGUGAUAAUCGCAUGUGGAUGUAUGCGAGAUACAAUGAUCGUUCUGCAUUUGAAACGGGGUUGGAGAGUUUCCUUGAUUAUGCGAUAAAUCAAAUGGCGUAUACAGAUGGAGUAGGUAACAUUAGGUGCCCGUGUAAGAAGUGCAACAAUGAAGCCUUUUUAUCUGUACCUACAGUCAGAAAACAUGUUACUAGGCGUGGAUUUGUCCACAAUUACACAACUUGGGUUUAUCACGGGGAAGCACCGAUGUGUAUGGGCGACAGAACAUGCUGGACCUAGUAAUUACCAAGUAAUGGAUGAGG
RNAcentral lists this long non-coding RNA (721 nucleotides) under Salvia miltiorrhiza (redroot sage). Its description in RNAcentral is "long non-coding RNA (SMIL_LNC009962)". Lineage: Eukaryota; Viridiplantae; Streptophyta; Magnoliopsida; Lamiales; Lamiaceae. The record is from RNAcentral.